CAGUAGCCGCGGGAAAACGGAGGGUGCAAGCGUUAUCCGGAUUUAUUGGGUUUAAAGGGUCCGUAGGCGGACUUAUAAGUCAGUGGUGAAAGCCUGUCGCUUAACGAUAGAACUGCCAUUGAUACUGUAAGUCUUGAGUAUAUUUGAGGUAGCUGGAAUAAGUAGUGUAGCGGUGAAAUGCAUAGAUAUUACUUAGAACACCAAUUGCGAAGGCAGGUUACCAAGAUAUAACUGACGCUGAGGGACGAAAGCGUGGGUAGCGAACAGGAUUAGAUACCCGUGUAGUCCCUGUCUCUUAUAC
RNAcentral lists this ribosomal RNA (301 nucleotides) under uncultured bacterium. RNAcentral describes it as "partial 16S ribosomal RNA". It matches the Rfam family "Bacterial small subunit ribosomal RNA", at positions 509 to 807 of the family's 1533-position model. The record is from RNAcentral.